This 198-nucleotide ribosomal RNA is filed under the name uncultured bacterium. RNAcentral's name for it is "partial 16S ribosomal RNA". It matches the Rfam family "Bacterial small subunit ribosomal RNA", at positions 328 to 539 of the family's 1533-position model. The record is from RNAcentral.
ACGCUCGACACCUACGGGAGGCAGCAGUGGGGAAUAUUGCACAAUGGGGGAAACCCUGAUGCAGCGACGCCGCGUGAGCGAAGAAGUAUUUCGGUAUGUAAAGCUCUAUCAGCAGGAAAGAAGAAAGACGGUACCUGACUAAGAAGCCCCGGCUAACUACGUGCCACAGCCGCGGUAAUCUGAGCGGGCUGGCAAGGC